Molecule: long non-coding RNA, 3552 nt
Organism: Limulus polyphemus (Atlantic horseshoe crab)
Lineage: Eukaryota; Metazoa; Arthropoda; Merostomata; Xiphosura; Limulidae
Exons: 4
Source: RefSeq, a predicted model, not a curated record
GCGCCCUCUGGUGUAUUGAAAACGGCGCGAGAACGCACAAGUUUGUAAUCCUAGGUUGCAUGAUUUAUUACAUCUUUGCGGAUACUUUCAACUGAAAGAUUAAUUCUCAAGUGAAGAAGCUUUAAGUGGUAUUCAGUAUUGAACAUUACACAAGAUGGGGAGGAGAAAAAGUAAAAGGAAACCUCCUCCAAAAAGAAAAGCCAUUGAGGCUUUGGAGACACAAUUCACAUGUCCAUUUUGUAAUCACGAAAAGUCAUGUGAUGUAAAAAUGGAUAGACAAAGGAAUACUGGACAAAUAACAUGCAGAGUUUGUAUGGAAGACUUCCAAACAUCAAUAAAUUAUUUAUCUGAACCAAUUGAUGUUUACAGUGAUUGGAUUGAUGCUUGUGAAAAUGCUAAUCAAUAAAGAAAAUGGAUAACAGUGUUGGGCAAAACUUUGACCAAAUAGCAUUCUAACUGAACUAUUGUAUCAACUAUUCUUCUUAAAUAAUUUUCAAAAAGCACUAUAUAUGUGCAGUGGUGUCUAAUCUUUCAUUUCUUGGAAUAUUGAAUAUACAUUUAUAAAUAUUUCCAAUAUUAAUUAUGGUAAAACAUGCAAGUAGAAGUUAUAGUUUUAUAAUUUUUAUUAUCAUCAUCAACUUUGCCAUACAAAGGUUAAUCAUUUUGUUUAGUAAAUUUCAUAUGUAUAGAUCAAAAAUUAUUUCAGAUGUGUGUUUGCACUGCAAAGGGUAAAGGUAAAACUGUUCUUCAUAAGUUUUCUUUCUAUUUCUUUUGUACAUAUAAAGAGAUUAUACACAUAACUGAAAAUAAAGUUAAUAAUGUUUAUUUUGACAUUAUCCUGCAGUCAUUAAAUUUUUGAAAUGUACAUCAAUUUUCACAAUAUUCUUGGAGUAAAAAUGUACAAGCAUUACCAUUACUUUCCAGUGUCAUUUUUAUUUACAAAGAAGGAAUUCUUAAAUACUAAGAGCAUUAAAGUCUUAGUUUCAAAUGUGUAUUAAUUAUGUAUACUGGGUGACGUUAAAACAUACAUAAAAAAAUGUAUUUCCUGGCAGUAGUCUCUCAACUACUGCAGCUGGGCUCAACUUUAAUUUUAAAUUGAAUUUUGUUAUUCCUACAUAGAAAAAAUAUCAGAAUUAAUGGAAUAAUUUUAUUUUUCCAAGGCUUCUCCUUAUAUGUACCUCUCCAUAAUACAACAUAAAAAUAAUUAACCAAUUAAUUAAAAAAACUGAAAUUUUAUCAACUCACUAAAACUAGUCAAAGCAGGAGAUUUUAACUUAAUCAAAACUUAAAUUCAUAAAAUUUAAUCAUUCUGCUAAUGAGUGCUAAAAGAGGUUUUUUUUUACAGAAGAUAGUUAAUUUGCAGGAUUAAAAAUACACCGUAGAUGGACCUUUUAUUACAGGGCCUAAACACACACCUGCAUAUAUAUUGUUUUUAGUGGAAAAUUGAAGUAGGUGCUGAUUAAUAAAGGUACUUGUCACUUCAGUAAUGUAAUAAGUUAUUAGGUGAUUGUAGCAGAAUAAAUUAUGCAUUUGAGAUUAUGUAACACAGUUUCAUUGGUUAUUACUUCAUAAUAAUAAUAGUGAGUUUGUAAAUGUGGUCUGUGCCUAGAGGAACUUAAAAAUGAUUGAUAAUGUUAGUAAAAUGAUGGAAAUAUGAGAAAAUAUCACAGCUAGAAAAAGUACUUAAUUUGGUAUUUUAAUUCAAUGAAAAACUAAUAGGUGCAUAAUUAAGACUAUCAGCAGAAAUGAGAAUCUUUGACCUGAUUUGUCAAAGAACUAGUUUUUUAGAACAGAAAUGUUAAAUCUGAGCCAUUUUGGUACCCGAGGGAAUGGGUGAUUUUUAAAAAUGUACUGCAAAUUUAAAUAUUGAAAAUAAAAAUGCACAGCAAACCUAAUAGUUUAUUCUUAUAAACUGUGUCUUGUGAAAGAGUUUAGUUUUAUCAGCUAUAUAUAAUUGGAAUAAAACUAGUUUUUUGAGGAAGAAGAAAUAAGUUAAAAUUUUGGAAAGUAUGUUUUACCAAAUUUUUUAUUUUUGCCUGCACACAUACAGGUAAAACAUGUAAAAAUAUGACUGUUUUAUUAAGGAAAAUUCUUGUUUUACAUUUAUAAAGAGUACCAUAUAGAGUGAUUAUUAGUUAUACUUAGAUUUCCGUAUCAGGAUAUAAUGACUUUUGUGAAAAAGAAAUACCAAUAAUGUAGUACUCCAAAUAACUAAGAUACAAUAGAAUAUCUGUAUUUGCUUCUUACCUGAAAAUAAUAGAUUUAAUAAAGUUAUAAGUGUUAUAUUAUUCAUUUAUUGCUGUUCUUAUGAUUAAAAUAAUAAACUUAUGCAGAUAAAGUGACCGAUAAUUUUGUUAAAAUUGAGCCAGCUCCAUAUUGUGGUUAUCUAUCACACAUCCCAUCCAACUUUAAAUUGGAACAGUUGUUGUCCCAACUUUAUUUUUUUUUUCUAAUUUAGUAUUCCUUCUGAUAUAGGAAUAACUAAAUCAUAAUAAAUUGAUUGAAUAAUAAAAAAAAUUCUUAUGUUGGCACCAAAAUACACUUUUUUUUUUAUACAAAUAGUAAUGAAUAUUGCAUUCAGCGUGAAAUCCUUUGAACUCCACAAUCCCAUUUUUCAUUAAUGUUAAUUAUUGUCCCUAUGUGCAAAAGUUCAUUAUUUGUCUUGCAGGUGUUUUUAGUGGGUACAUUGGAAUUAUGGUAAUCUGUAUAAACUUUUCAUGCAAUUUCAACCAAACUGAUAUAAGCAUUAAAAUAACGGAGAACAGCAGUAAAUUUAAAAACAUUAUUGGCUGUUUAUUUAUUUAGACUGAGUUGCUGAACAGAAGGCCAAAGGUUUAAAUGAUGACGUGCCAAUGAACAUACAGCUCUUAUCUUUGUUGUUAUAACAGUCGUAGUCAAGUGUAUGUAGUUAACACAUUUGCUGCCAGGAACCCCAUCAGUGAAUCACAACUGACUUUUAGUUAUGGACCUCGUGACACACCAGGGGGUCAUAUAUUAUAAGUAGUUUUAAUGAGCUAAACAUAGUAUAGUUACCCAUAUAAAUAUUAGACACCUGGGUUAAGUAAAAAAAAAGUGUGUGGUUAGCACUAGGGUAGGAAUUAGUAAUACUACUGGUGGCAGCGAACGUGUUAAGAAUAGUUGUGUAAAUAGCAAGUGCUGCUGGGUGAAUAUAAUUCCCUUGAUUAACAGUUCUCUUGCAUCUUGGGGUUUUUUGACUGGCUGUUUGAUUGGAUUUGUUACGUAGUGCCAUCCAGCUUGCAAAUACUAAUAACUUUAUUUUACGCAUUGUGCUCGUAAUAAUCAGCACAAACAGAAGAUAAUUGCAGACCAUAGAAAAUGAGAAUUUGUAAAAAAAAAAUUAUUUUUAAUGUUUCACUUUCAAAAAAAAAUGUGUAGUUCAUAUUUUUGUAUUUUCUUAAUUUAAAAAAAAAAGAUUAAUUUAAUAUUCCCAUUUCAAUAGUCUGUAAAAAGGAUAUAUAGGGUAUAUGUAUCACCUGUCAUCUAUUGUCAUUAUGUUUGUGCUAGUAAUAAAAUGUUGUUCUUAUCCUUUAA